AGGGUUUGAUUAUGGCUCAGGACGAACGCUGGCGGCGUGCCUAACACAUGCAAGUCGAACGGAGUUUAGCCCUUCGGGGGUAAACUUAGUGGCGGACGGGUGAGUAACGCGUGAGCAACCUGCCUAGAAGAGGGGGAUAACGACUGGAAACGGUCGCUAAUACCGCAUAACAUUCCACUGCCGCAUGGUGGAGGAAUCAAAGGAGCAAUCCGCUUUUAGAUGGGCUCGCGUCCGAUUAGCUAGUUGGUGGGGUAAAGGCCUACCAAGGCGACGAUCGGUAGCCGAACUGAGAGGUUGAUCGGCCACAUUGGGACUGAGACACGGCCCAG
RNAcentral lists this ribosomal RNA (329 nucleotides) under uncultured bacterium. RNAcentral describes it as "bacterial SSU rRNA". It matches the Rfam family "Bacterial small subunit ribosomal RNA", at positions 8 to 334 of the family's 1533-position model. The record is from RNAcentral.